RNAcentral lists this ribosomal RNA (1373 nucleotides) under metagenome. Its description in RNAcentral is "bacterial SSU rRNA". It matches the Rfam family "Bacterial small subunit ribosomal RNA", at positions 131 to 1498 of the family's 1533-position model. The record is from RNAcentral.
UUUCAGUGGGGGAUAACGUAGCGAAAGUUACGCUAAUACCGCAUAUUCUGUGAGCAGGAAAGCAGGGGAUCGCAAGACCUUGCGCUGAUUGAGCGGCCGAUAUCAGAUUAGCUAGUUGGUGAGGUAAAGGCUCACCAAGGCGACGAUCUGUAGCGGGUCUGAGAGGAUGAUCCGCCACACUGGAACUGAGACACGGUCCAGACUCCCACGGGAGGCAGCAGUGGGGAAUUUUGGACAAUGGGGGCAACCCUGAUCCAGCCAUGCCGCGUGAGUGAAGAAGGCCUUCGGGUUGUAAAGCUCUUUCGGCCGGGAAGAAAUCGCAUGGGUUAAUACCCUGUGCGGAUGACGGUACCGGCAUAAGAAGCACCGGCUAACUACGUGCCAGCAGCCGCGGUAAUACGUAGGGUGCGAGCGUUAAUCGGAAUUACUGGGCGUGAAGCGUGCGCAGGCGGUUUUUUAAGACAGGCGUGAAAUCCCCGGGCUCAACCUGGGAACUGCGCUUGUGACUGGAAGGCUAGAGUAUGGCAGAGGGGGGUGGAAUUCCACGUGUAGCAGUGAAAUGCGUAGAGAUGUGGAGGAACACCAAUGGCGAAGGCAGCCCCCUGGGCCAAUACUGACGCUCAUGCACGAAAGCGUGGGUAGCAAACAGGAUUAGAUACCCUGGUAGUCCACGCCCUAAACGAUGUCAACUAGGUGUUGGGUGGGUAAAACCAUUUAGUACCGGAGCUAACGCGUGAAGUUGACCGCCUGGGGAGUACGGCCGCAAGGUUAAAACUCAAAGGAAUUGACGGGGACCCGCACAAGCGGUGGAUGAUGUGGAUUAAUUCGAUGCAACGCGAAAAACCUUACCUACCCUUGACAUGUCCAGGAGCCUGAAGAGAUUUGGGUGUGCCCGAAAGGGAACUGGAACACAGGUGCUGCAUGGCUGUCGUCAGCUCGUGUCGUGAGAUGUUGGGUUAAGUCCCGCAACGAGCGCAACCCUUGUCGUUAAUUGCCAUCAUUUAGUUGGGCACUUUAACGAGACUGCCGGUGACAAACCGGAGGAAGGUGGGGAUGACGUCAAGUCCUCAUGGCCCUUAUGGGUAGGGCUUCACACGUCAUACAAUGGUCGGUACAAAGGGUUGCCAAGCCGCGAGGUGGAGCCAAUCCCAGAAAGCCGAUCGUAGUCCGGAUCGCAGGCUGCAACUCGCCUGCGUGAAGUCGGAAUCGCUAGUAAUCGUGGAUCAGCACGUCACGGUGAAUACGUUCCCGGGUCUUGUACACACCGCCCGUCACACCAUGGGAGCGGGUUCCGUCAGAAGUAGGUAGCCUAACCGCAAGGAGGGCGCUUACCACGGCGGGGUUCGUGACUGGGGUGAAGUCGUAACAAGGUA